Molecule: ribosomal RNA, 497 nt
Filed under: uncultured bacterium
Lineage: Bacteria
Description: partial 16S ribosomal RNA
Rfam family: Bacterial small subunit ribosomal RNA
Source: RNAcentral
GAUGAACGCUGGCGGCGUGCCUAAUACAUGCAAGUCGAGCGAACGGACGAGAAGCUUGCUUCUCUGAUGUUAGCGGCGAACGGGUGAGUAACACGUGGAUAACCUACCUAUAAGACUGGGAUAACUUCGGGAAACCGGAGCUAAUACCGGAUAAUAUUUUGAACCGCAUGGUUCAAAAGUGAAAGAAGGUCUUGCUGUCACUUAUAGAUGGAUCCGCGCUGCAUUAGCUAGUUGGUAAGGUAACGGCUUACCAAGGCAACGAUGCAUAGCCGACCUGAGAGGGUGAUCGGCCACAUUGGAACUGAGACACGGUCCAGACUCCUACGGGAGGCAGCAGUAGGGAAUCUUCCGCAAUGGACGAAAGCCUGACGGAGCAACGCCGCGUGAGUGAUGAAGGUCUUCGGAUCGUAAAACUCUGUUAUUAGGGAAGAACAUAUGUGUAAGUAACUGUGCACAUCUUGACGGUACCUAAUCAGAAAGCCACGGCUAACUACGUG